UGCGCAGGCGGUUAUUUAAGUCAGGUGUGAAAGCCCCGGGCUCAACCUGGGAAUGGCGCUUGAGACUGGAUAGCUUGGAGUGUGGCAGAGGGAGGUGGAAUUCCACGUGUAGCAGUGAAAUGCGUAGAGAUGUGGAGGAACACCGAUGGCGAAGGCAGCCUCCUGGGCCAGCACUGACGCUCAUGCACGAAAGCGUGGGGAGCAAACAGGAUUAGAUACCCUGGUAGUCCACGCCCUAAACGAUGUCGACUGGUUGUUGGUGGGGUUAAACCCAUUAGUAACGAAGCUAACGCGUGAAGUCGACCGCCUGGGGAGUACGGCCGCAAGGUUAAA
RNAcentral lists this ribosomal RNA (333 nucleotides) under uncultured Azospira sp. RNAcentral's name for it is "bacterial SSU rRNA". It matches the Rfam family "Bacterial small subunit ribosomal RNA", at positions 568 to 898 of the family's 1533-position model. The record is from RNAcentral. Lineage: Bacteria; Pseudomonadati; Pseudomonadota; Betaproteobacteria; Rhodocyclales; Rhodocyclaceae.